CAUGUAUAUGACUCAUAUUCCCUUUACACGAGUCGUAUAGAUUGUUUGGCAUGGUUAAAUACGAGACCUUAUAUGAAUUGUAUAAGCCUAUACAAGUGAUAUGUGUGUAUAGGGAAAAGAUCAUGAUGAUACUCUUUCUUUGUGAAAAAACUAGAAAACUCAUUAUCGGACAAGUGUAAUCUAUGCCCCGCAUACAUGUGUUGUAGUAUCAUAUAUAGGCAAUAUGUAUUGGACAUGUCCAAUAUUUAGUUUCUCACGAAAAAAUUAGUUUUUUUCUCUUAUAUAUGUGUAUAUAAAAACACACAUCAAAUUAUUUGAUUUGACGCAAGAUUCCUCGAAAUGAGCGGCAUAUUAUUUGGCAUGAUGUAAGAUUUUUUGCUAUGUGCGUCAAUCGAGAUGUGUGAAU
RNAcentral lists this long non-coding RNA (406 nucleotides) under Helianthus annuus (common sunflower). RNAcentral's name for it is "sRNA HanXRQr2_Chr03g0130191". Lineage: Eukaryota; Viridiplantae; Streptophyta; Magnoliopsida; Asterales; Asteraceae. The record is from RNAcentral.